UACGGAGGGAGCUAGCGUUGUUCGGAAUUACUGGGCGUAAAGCGCACGUAGGCGGCUUUUUAAGUCAGGGGUGAAAUCCCGGGGCUCAACCCCGGAACUGCCUUUGAAACUGGAAGGCUAGAAUCUUGGAGAGGCGAGUGGAAUUCCGAGUGUAGAGGUGAAAUUCGUAGAUAUUCGGAAGAACACCAGUGGCGAAGGCGACUCGCUGGACAAGUAUUGACGAUGAGGUGCGAAAGCGUGGGGAGCAAACAGG
This 253-nucleotide ribosomal RNA is filed under the name uncultured bacterium. RNAcentral describes it as "partial 16S ribosomal RNA". It matches the Rfam family "Bacterial small subunit ribosomal RNA", at positions 524 to 776 of the family's 1533-position model. The record is from RNAcentral.